GCGAAGGUGGCGGAAUUGGCAGACGCACUAGCUUGAGGUGCUAGCGGGUAACACCGUGGGGGUUCAAGUCCCCCCCUUCGCA
Molecule: non-coding RNA, 82 nt
Organism: Sorangium cellulosum So0157-2
Lineage: Bacteria; Pseudomonadati; Myxococcota; Polyangiales; Polyangiaceae
Source: Rfam